This 483-nucleotide ribosomal RNA is filed under the name uncultured bacterium. Its description in RNAcentral is "partial 16S ribosomal RNA". It matches the Rfam family "Bacterial small subunit ribosomal RNA", at positions 30 to 507 of the family's 1533-position model. The record is from RNAcentral.
UUGAACGCUGGCGGCAGGCCUAACCCAUGCAAGUCGAGCGGAUGAAGGGAGCUUGCUCCUGGAUUCAGCGGCGGACGGGUGAGUAAUGCCUAGGAAUCUGCCUGGUAGUGGGGGAUAACGUCCGGAAACGGGCGCUAAUACCGCAUACGUCCUGAGGGAGAAAGUGGGGGAUCUUCGGACCUCACGCUAUCAGAUGAGCCUAGGUCGGAUUAGCUAGUUGGCGGGGUAAAGGCCUACCAAGGCGACGAUCCGUAACUGGUCUGAGAGGAUGAUCAGUCACACUGGAACUGAGACACGGUCCAGACUCCUACGGGAGGCAGCAGUGGGGAAUAUUGGACAAUGGGCGAAAGCCUGAUCCAGCCAUGCCGCGUGUGUGAAGAAGGUCUUCGGAUUGUAAAGCACUUUAAGUUGGGAGGAAGGGCAGUAAGUUAAUACCUUGCUGUUUUGACGUUACCAACAGAAUAAGCACCGGCUAACUUCGUG